CCUACGGGCGGCAGCAGUGAGGAAUAUUGGUCAAUGGGCUUACGCCUGAACCAGCCAAGUCGCGUGAGGGAAGACUGCCCUAUGGGUUGUAAACCUCUUUUGUCAGGGAGCAAUUGGCGCUACGUGUAGCGUUAUCGAGAGUACCUGAAGAAAAAGCAUCGGCUAACUCCGUGCCAGCAGCCGCGGUAAUACGGAGGAUGCGAGCGUUAUCCGGAUUUAUUGGGUUUAAAGGGUGCGUAGGCGGAAUGCCAAGUCAGCGGUAAAAUCGCGGGGCUAAACCUCGCUCCGCCGUUGAUACUGGCGGUCUUGAGUGGGCGAGAGGUAUGCGGAAUGCGUGGUGUAGCGGUGAAAUGCAUAGAUAUCACGCAGAACUCCGAUUGCGAAGGCAGCAUACCGGCGCCCAACUGACGCUGAAGCACGAAAGCGUGGGUAUCGAACAGGAUUAGAUACCCUUGUAGUC
This 460-nucleotide ribosomal RNA is filed under the name uncultured bacterium. RNAcentral's name for it is "partial 16S ribosomal RNA". It matches the Rfam family "Bacterial small subunit ribosomal RNA", at positions 338 to 795 of the family's 1533-position model. The record is from RNAcentral.